Panicum hallii is the source of this 499-nucleotide long non-coding RNA. RefSeq lists it as uncharacterized. NCBI's taxonomy places the organism in Eukaryota, Viridiplantae, Streptophyta, Magnoliopsida, Poales, Poaceae. The transcript is spliced from 3 exons. The record is from RefSeq and is a predicted model, not a curated record.
AAGCUUCGGCGUGAACGCAGGCAAGGGAGUUGCAGCGUGUACGACGACAUAUUGGUGGCGACCACCAUUGCUCGUAUCGGCACAGAGGAAGAAGAAAACAAACCUAACCCACGUCGAGGUUCAAUUGUAGGACGCCGGACCAUUGCACGAGAUAGAUACAGUGGGUAUUGCCGUUUGAUGGAGGACUAUUUCGUUUCCAACUCGGUCUAUGGUUCCGAAUGACAAAGAAUAUGUUUGAAGAUAUCAAGGACGCAUGUGAGCAAGCAAACGUAUACUUUAAAUGGAGACAAAAUGCUGCGGGAGUUUGGGGCUUGGCUCCAGUACAAAAGGGAUGUUGGGUUCGAUUGAUUGUAUGCAUUGGGAGUGGGAAAAUUGCCCUACCGCUUGGCAUGGUCAAUAUAGAGGUCACUUUAAAAAACCUACUCUUAUUCUCGAGGCAGUUGCUAGCUAUGAUACAUGGAUAUGGCAUGCUUUCUUUGGACUUCCGGGAUCAUUGAAC